RNAcentral lists this transfer RNA (97 nucleotides) under Actinokineospora globicatena. RNAcentral's name for it is "tRNA-Val". The record is from RNAcentral. Lineage: Bacteria; Bacillati; Actinomycetota; Actinomycetes; Pseudonocardiales; Pseudonocardiaceae.
GAGGCCGAUGCUGAAGUGGCGUUGCAGCGCUCGGCCCACCACCGAGUCGACCUGGCUGUGCAGGGCGACCAGCCGGGUCCAGCUCUCGGCGACGCCG